UAGGUAGGCGUCGGCGACCCCAUCGCCCUGGAAUGCGGUCAUGAGAUCGCGGCGGGUAUGUGCGGCAUGCGCGGUGCCGGAGAUCUGGUU
RNAcentral lists this non-coding RNA (90 nucleotides) under bovine gut metagenome. The record is from RNAcentral.